RNAcentral lists this long non-coding RNA (5503 nucleotides) under Sus scrofa (pig). RNAcentral describes it as "lncRNA (ENSSSCG00000061755.1)". Lineage: Eukaryota; Metazoa; Chordata; Mammalia; Artiodactyla; Suidae. The record is from RNAcentral.
UAAGGAUCUGGUGUUGCUGUGUACUGUGGUGUAGGUCGCAUAAGUGCCUCAGAUCCUGUGUUGCUGUGGCUGUGGUGUGAGUUGGCUGGCUGCAACUCCGAAUGAUCCAUAGCCUGGGAACCUCCAUAUGCUGUGAGUUUGGCCCUAAAGAGACAAAAAACAAACAAACAAAAAAACACCUGUAGAUUAAUUUGAGAAGUAUUGUCUUCUUAACACUAAUCUCCUCCUUCAAUCCAUGGACAUGGCAUUUAUUUCCAUUUAUUGAGGUCUUUUAAAACAGCUUUAAUGAUGUUCUGUUAUUUUGGUGGACAAGACUUAACUGAAUAAAGAGUCUGACCCCCUUUUUCUGAUAUUUUCUGGCAGCUUAUAAUCCUCACUCUGCCCUCUCUCUCAUCUGCACCUCAUCAGAUCAAGCUGAUAAGAAAGCCUGUGUGUUUCCUUGGUCCUGAUGGGAAGUUCAAACCAUGCCCAGGAAUACUUAUCCCAGCCCUACCCUGAAGUACCAUAAAAAUACAACCCAGCUUCUUUCUCAGCUUUCUAAAGCCAUUUAGACCAGCUUGAGAAACUUGCCUUGCUCUUCCCAGCAAGUGUGAUUAUGUGAGUAAUAAACCCUUUACCAGAGUAACCCCUGAUGCAUGUGUGGCAUAAUUGGUCUUAACAUCUGAACCAAAUAUCUGAUGGAGGGCCAUCCUGCCUCUGCAGAGUACUCACCACAACUUCAUUGGUUAUUUAUUCCUAAAUGGAUUUUGUGCUAUUAUAGAUGAAACUGUUUUCUAAUUUCACUUUCAGGGUAUUCAUUGUUACUGUAGAGGAACAGGACUAAAUUUUGCACAUUGGUCUUAUAUCCUGCAAUUUUUUUUUUUUGUCUUUUUGCCUUUUCUAGGGCCACUUCCCAUGGCAUAUGGAGGUUCCCAGGCUAGGGGUCGAAUCGGAGCUGUAGCCACUGGCCUGUGCCAGAGCCACAGCAAUGCGGGAUCCAAGCCGUGUCUGCAACCUACACCACAGCUCACAGCCAACGCCGGAUCCUUAACCCACUUAGCAAGGCCAGGGAUCGAACCUGCAACCUCAUGGUUCCUAGUCAGAUUCAUUAACUGCUGCGCCACAGCGGAAACUCCUAUCCUGCAAUCUUGCUGAACUUGUUCAUUAGUUCUAACAAUUUUUUAGUGGAUCCUCUAGAAUUUUCUAUAGAAAAGAUCAUGCCAUCUGCAAAUAGAGGUGGUUUUACUUCUUUUCCAAAGUGAAUGCCUUUCAUUACUGUUUCUUGUCUAACUGUCCUGCUAGAAUCUCUGGUAUGGAUGGUAAGUAGAAGUGGAAGAGCAAAACGUUCUUGUCUUUUCCUGAUCUUAGAGGAAAAGCAUCCAGUCCUUCCCUUUCAAGUACGAUACUAACUUUGGGACUUUUACAGACACCCUGUGUCAGGCGGAAGAAGUUUCCUUCUAUUCCCAGUUGGUGUAGUAUUUUUAUAUCAUGGAAGGAUAUUAGAUUUUGUCGAAUAGUUUUUUCUUCAUUUAGUGAAAUGAUGGUGUCAUGUUUUAUUUUUAUAUUGUAGAUAGAGUGUAUUACAUUUCAGCCACUAUAGCUCUCUGAAAAUUCAAAAGAAUUUUUGGCAAUGGGUGAUAAGAGGCAGGGGGGCGAGGGAGUUCUUUCUUACUUGUGAAAGCUAGGGUUAUUUUUUUUUUUAAGUCUCAGUGUCUAUCCACAGGUAUUUGGAACAAUCUCUGCCAUCCCCGUGGGCAAUACACUUAGUCCUGCAAAGCACCUUUUCCCAAGAGGUCCAAGGUCAUCUCUGACAGAAAAGAUUUGUGGUCAAAUACGGUAGAUACUCUGCAUACCUUAAACCCCUCUAGGACAUAGUCAAUGCACCUGAGCAUAGUGAAGACUCUGAAAUUUUUGCAAAGGAAAAAAAAUAAUCUUUUUAUUUUUAACUCUAUAUUUCCACAAUAAUUUGUAUCACAGAACCCUUUUUUUUUCACAUGAUACUUAUCUUUUAGAACCACCACUGAUACCCUUUGGGAAGCCCUAUUUCAGGCUGAUUCUUGCAUUUGUGAACAAAUCCAGUUAACUUUAUUUCAGACCUUGAGAAUCGGAGAAAGAGCUAAUGACUGUUACAUUUUCUCACUAAACUGCUCCUUGCACGAUCACUUUGCACCACAUUUUACCCAAAGUGCAAGUGCUUUCAUAAAUAAUGGAGCAGAAACCUUCACCAAAGCCUCAAUGCCAUGUUGAAUAAAUAUGACGUUCUGAGCAUUAGAACUGCAGGUAUUUUUUAUUCAAGUACACCCCAACCAUGUAACUUUCCAUUUGGGGAAGCACUCUCAGAUGAACUGCAUGGCAUGGCUUUCAAAAGCACUUGCAGAAUUAACCAUUCAUACAACUCAACAACAAAAAACUAAACAACUCUAUCAAAAAAUGGGCAGAAGAUCUAAAUAGAUAUUUCUCCAAAGAAGACAUAUGGAUAAUCAAUAGGCACCUGAAAAGAUGCUCAACAUCACUAAUUAUUAAAGAAGUGAAGUCAAAACUACAAUGAGGUACCAUCUCACACUGGUCAGAAUGGCCAUCAUCUACAGAUAAUGAAUGCUGGAGAGGGUGUGGAGAAAAGGGAAACCUCCUACACUGUUGGUGGGAAUGUAAAUUGGUACAACCACUAUGGAAAAAAUUAUGGAGUUUCCUCAGAAAACUAAAUUUAGAACUACCAUAUGAUCCAGCAAUUCCAUUCCUGGGUAUAUAGCUGGACAAAAUUAUAAUUCAAAAAGAUACACAUACCCCUGUUCAUUUCAACACUAUUCAAAAAUAACUGAGACAUGGAAACAACCUAAAUGUCCAUUGACAGAUGACUGGGUUAAGAUGAUGUGAUACAUAUGCACAAUGGAAUACUACUCAGCCAUAAAAAAGAAUGAAAUAAUGCCAUUUGCAGCAACAUGGAUGCAACUAGAGAUUCUCAUACUAAGUGAAGUAAGUCAGAGAAAGACAAAUCCACAUGAUAUCACUUAUAUGUGGAAUCUAAAAUAUGACACAAAUGAACCUAGCUAUAAAACAGAAACAGAAUAGAGAACAGACUUGUAGUUGCCAAAAGGGAUGGGGGAGGAGUAGGAUGGACGGGGAGUUUGGGGUUAGCAGAGGCAAACUAUUACAUUUAGAAAGGAUAAGCAAUGAGGUCCUACCGUGCAGCACAGGUAACUAUAUCCAGUUUCUUGGGAUAGAACAUUAUGGAAGACAGUAUGAGAAAAAGAAUGCACAUUUAUGUAUGACUGGAUCACUUUGCUAUACAGCAGAAAUUGGUACAACACUGUCAAUCAACUAUACUUCAACUAUACUUUAAUAAAAACCUUUUUUAAAUAAAAAAAAUUUAAACGCAACAACAAAAAAGAAUUAAUCACUUGCUCUCUUAGCUUUAUUUUAAAGGUGGAAAAAUGCCAGAAAUUAAGGAGGUUUAUUUUUUAUUUUUUAUUUUUUUUUUGUCUUUUUGCUAUUUCUUGGGCCACUCCCACGGCAUAUGGAGUUUCCCAGGCUAGGGGUCUAAUCGGAGCUGUAGCCACCGGCCUACGCCAGAGCCACAGCAACACGGGAUCCGAGCCGCUUCUGCAACCUACACCACAGCUCACGGCAACGCCAGAUCGUUAACCCACCGAGCAAGCGCGGGGACCGAACCCGCAACCUCAUGGUUCCUAGUCGGAUUCGUUAACCACUGCGCCAUGAUAGGAACUCCAGGGGGUUUAUUUUUUAAAACAAAUAUAAAAUCAAGUUUCCUCAAGAAGGCAAUGAUUGAGAGGAGUCUUGAGAUAAAGUUAGAAGAUCAUAAGAUGAAGGGGAGGAGGACAUUCUAGGAAGAGAAACACAUAAACAUAGGAAGUGUGGAACAGCAUGGCCAGCAGUGGCUGGAGUGGGGCAUGAGGCUGAAGAGGAGGCAGAUGAUGGACAAUGGAAAGCUCUUUGUGUUAACAGACUUGGACACUUUCUUAUAAACCAAGGGGCACUUUUGAGGACUAUCUUUAGGAGCCACCACUCUGGCUCCCUGCUCAAUUAAGUAAGUCUAGGAAAUUAUUUCUUGAAAUAAUUUCUUAAUGGAUGACAGCCUCAUGCUCCAGCUAUGAUCUGACUGAAUUGGACAACAGAGAAAAUGGGCACAGGAUUAUCUCCCCUAAUUUGCUUCUCCAACUAGGGGCUCUAGCCUGUAUAGUGCCUUUGUGUGAAUUAUUCAAAGAUGCCAAUGCCAAGGUGAGGUCAGCACCCACUUAUUGCCUUCAACUGAACACCUUUGUGCAGUGCCCAGCCUGUACAACUAUACAUGUUGCUCCUGAUUGCCCCUGUAUUCUAUCUUCCAGUCAGUGGUACCAUCGUUACCCAUCUAGGUAGCCAAACUAGAAACUGGGCACCAUCCUAAUUUCCUUUUUAUGUCUCCCUCAAUAUAUUCCCCCAAACCACCAAAUCUUACUAACUCUUCAGCUUCCUCCCAAAUGCCACUGUCUCAGAACAGGCUUUGAUUGCUGGUUGUGUUUUUGCUGUAUCCUUCCCCUUAGUCUCCCAGAGAAUGGCAGAAAUAGAGUGGGUGUGUUGGCAGCAUGGUGGGGAGGGAUGAACCUGCUGUAUGCCAAAGGUGACUAGUUCUGUCCCAGAGCUGCUUCACCUGGACCCACCAUGAAGGGGAAGGGUGAUGUUAGCUUUCAUUUAAGCACCUAACCCCUACUAGUCCUGUUACUGUUUCUAGGGCUCACAAUAACCAUGCAAGGUGGAAAAUUUAAUCCAGGUUACAGAUGAGAAAACAGUGUUUACAAUCAGUUAAGCAGCUUUUUUGGAGUUGCACAGCUGGUGAGAGUCAAAAGUCCUUGCUGUUCUGCUGUUGGCACUAAAACUUGCUGUCUCUUGUCCUUUCUAUAGCCUAAUUGCAUGUACCUAAUUCCAGGUCCACUUUAUCACCUCUGUGAAAAAAUUUAAAUUAUAGGGGCAAGCACUUAAGAAUUAGAAACCUGCCUUAUGGAGUGUGCCUUUAAUUAGGCCAGCCUCUGUUAUUUAUGUUGUCUAUUUUUUUAUUUAUUUAUUUUUUAGUGCCCUGUAUGAGUUCAGGAAAGCAUCUUUGUAAAUAUUCUCUGAAAUAGACUGAUUACUGCUAAUUAGAUUCUCUUAACAUGAAAGAAGAAAAUGACUGGCUUCUUUUGAGUUCGGAUAAAGUAUGGUGGUGGCAAUGAUAGGUGUGAUGAUAAUAUUCUGAGCCAUGUCCUUGGAGCUGUUUUGCAGGUGCUGAAGCCCCACCAGGUGGGAGAAGUCAACUGGAUGCUGCCCACAAGCACAUCGACCCCAGACAAGUUGAAACCAGAAGGCUGAUGAUGCUGAUUCCCGAUGACCUCACCACCCACCAAUCAGGAAAGCGUCCACAAGCUGAUCACGCCCUGCUCCUCGAACUCUAAGACUCCUCACUUCCCCCUCUAAGGUGGGGCACAGUCCUUGAGGCACUAGCCUGCUGUGUCCCCCUCUUUGCCUGGCAAUUAAAGCUACUUUUUCUGUUUCC